RNAcentral lists this ribosomal RNA (335 nucleotides) under uncultured soil bacterium. RNAcentral's name for it is "bacterial SSU rRNA". It matches the Rfam family "Bacterial small subunit ribosomal RNA", at positions 26 to 349 of the family's 1533-position model. The record is from RNAcentral.
AGAGUGAACGCUGGCGGUAGGCCUAACACAUGCAAGUCGAACGGCAGCACAGUGGUAGCAAUACCAUGGGUGGCGAGUGGCGGACGGGUGAGGAAUACAUCGGAAUCUACCUUUUCGUGGGGGAUAACGUAGGGAAACUUACGCUAAUACCGCAUACGCCCUUUGGGGGAAAGCCGGGGAUCGCAAGACCUGGCGCGGAUAGAUGAGCCGAUGUCGGAUUAGCUAGUUGGUGAGGUAAUGGCUCACCGAAGGCGACGAUCCGUAGCGUGGUCUGAGAGGAUGACUCACGCCAACACGUGGAACUGAAGACGACGGUCCAGACCGUCCGUACGGGA